RNAcentral lists this ribosomal RNA (414 nucleotides) under uncultured microorganism. Its description in RNAcentral is "bacterial SSU rRNA". It matches the Rfam family "Archaeal small subunit ribosomal RNA", at positions 459 to 872 of the family's 1478-position model. The record is from RNAcentral.
CAGCCGCCGCGGUAAUACCGGCGGCCCGAGUGGCGGCCACUAUUAUUGGGCUUAAAGCGUCCGUAGCCGGGUUGGUUAGUCUCCCGGGAAAUCUGGCCGCUUAACGGUCAGAAUGCCGGAGGAUACUCCCAGCCUAGGGACCGGGAGAGGCCGAGGGUAUUCCCGGAGUAGGGGUGAAAUCCUAUAAUCCCGGGAGGACCACCUGUGGCGAAGGCGCUCGGCUGGAACGGGUCCGACGGUGAGGGACGAAGGCCAGGGGAGCAAACCGGAUUAGAUACCCGGGUAGUCCUGGCUGUAAACGAUGCGGACUUUGUGUCGGACAAGCUAUGAGCUUGUCCGGUGCCGGAGGGAAACCGUUAAGUCCGCCGCCUGGGGAGUACGGCCGCAAGGCUGAAACUUAAAGGAAUUGGCGGG